RNAcentral lists this ribosomal RNA (250 nucleotides) under uncultured bacterium. Its description in RNAcentral is "partial 16S ribosomal RNA". It matches the Rfam family "Bacterial small subunit ribosomal RNA", at positions 524 to 773 of the family's 1533-position model. The record is from RNAcentral.
UACGGAGGGUGCGAGCGUUGUUCGGAUUUAUUGGGCGUAAAGCGCGUGUAGGCGGUUUUAUAAGUCUGAUGUGAAAGCCCCGGGCUCAACCUGGGAAGUGCAUUGGAUACUGUAAGACUUGAAUACGGGAGAGGGCAGUGGAAUUCCUGGUGUAGGAGUGAAAUCCGUAGAUAUCAGGAGGAACACCGGUGGCGAAGGCGGCUGCCUGGACCGAUAUUGACGCUGAGACGCGAAAGCGUGGGUAGCAAAC